RNAcentral lists this ribosomal RNA (375 nucleotides) under uncultured Glomeromycotina. Its description in RNAcentral is "LSU rRNA". Lineage: Eukaryota; Fungi; Glomeromycota. The record is from RNAcentral.
UUGAAAGGGAAACGAUUGAAGUCAGUCGUACCAGCGGGAAAUCAACCUUUCGAGUGGGGGUUUUGGAGUUUUGAAGAGUGUCAAAACCUUUGAGAUUUCAAAAUUUUCGCUCUUUUGGUGUACUUUCUCGUGGGUAGGUUAACAUCGAUUUUGAUCAUCAUAAAAAGAUUGGAGGAAUGUAGCUUCGAUCCUGUAUUGAAGUGUUAUAGCCUUUGGUAAAUGUGAUGAUUAGGAUCGAGGAUUGCAACGAAUACCCUUUUGGGCUAUCCGCCUGAUCUCUGAUACGUGGCCUUGGUAUCGAAAGCGUGCUUAUGGUAUUGAGGUAUUACGGUCAAAAGGUUAGAACGGAUUACAUUCGUUAAGGAUGUUGACGUA